This 266-nucleotide unclassified non-coding RNA is filed under the name uncultured fungus. RNAcentral's name for it is "sequence contains ITS2". The stretch from base 1 to 52 matches the Rfam family "5.8S ribosomal RNA", at positions 103 to 154 of the family's 154-position model. The record is from RNAcentral. Lineage: Eukaryota; Fungi.
AACGCACAUUGCGCCCGCCAGUAUUCUGGCGGGCAUGCCUGUUCGAGCGUCAUUUCAACCCUCAAGCCCCCUGUGGACUUGGUGUUGGGGACCGGCGACAACCUUCUGUCGCCGCCCCCUAAAUGAAUUGGCGGCCCCGUCGCGGCCCUCCUCUGCGUAGUAGCACACACCUCGCAACAGGAGCCCGUCGGUGGCCACUGCCGUAAAACACCCCAAACUUUUUUAGAGUUGACCUCGAAUCAGGUAGGAAUACCCGCUGAACUUAA